This 1147-nucleotide long non-coding RNA is filed under the name Solanum lycopersicum (tomato). RNAcentral describes it as "partial TCONS_00067605". Lineage: Eukaryota; Viridiplantae; Streptophyta; Magnoliopsida; Solanales; Solanaceae. The record is from RNAcentral.
GCACUAAAUAAAUUGAUUUUUUUGACUAAUUAGCUAAAUUUCCCUUUUUUCAAUCCCAACAAUUUCCAGCCCACUCCAACCUCGACCCAGCCCAAAUUCUUUUUCUCUUCACAAAAGAGAACCUAACACGUUUAGCAGCUUCCCAACGACAUCGAUACACGAUAUUUUCACAGCGUCAAAACGAACCAACAAAAACAGCGCGUGAACGACUCCAAAACCACCUUAUACGCGCCUCACCUCUCCUCAUGCGAGAACAAGUAGUAGCAACGGUCACAAGAAAUACACGACAGAUUAUACGAUGUCAAAUUUUAUACUCGCUUUCUCCUUUUUGCUUUGCCAGAAGUCAUACAGCAGCGGUCAGUCGACUUGUUCAGUCUGCAGUUCACGUAUUCGUCCUUGGGGGCUGGGAGAUUGACCCACGUCGCGCCCUAAAGACGAUGGAAUUGAUUCCAGCCGUUCAACCCCCUCCCCCCCCUUUCCUCUUUUGAAGCGGGUUGAAUUCUCAAAGAAAAGGUGUUCAUCCUAAAAUGGUGAAAGAUUUUAAAAUUCGAAAUUGAAAUGGAUCUUUUCUCAUCUAAUUUCAUUCACUUUCCCCAAAAAUCAACUCUAGAUUUUCCCUCUCUAUAUAAGCGCCUGUUUUGCUCCAUUAGAGGGGUUGGAGAUUUUUGAUUGAAAAAAAAGGGGUGUUGAAGAAUUUUGUGUUGGUGAAAAUACAGGAAGUUAGCUAAGUGAUGAAAGAAAAAGAUAUAUUUAAGCCAAAGGUUUCCUAGAAAAUUUUCCGAUUCGGUCUUUCUGUCAUCUGUUUUGCUUUGUUGGUUCAAGUUUUUUUGGAGUCGUUCUUCGGUGUAGUAGUUGCUGUCCAUCUCUUCGCUCCAACCCAGUUCGCUGCCCACAAAAAGGUUUGGUUUGUAACAAAAAAAGAAGUAUAUGAAGUUGGUUGCAUAUAAUAAGAGUUUGACAUAUGGAUUAAAACAUGAUGGCGGAUCUCUUUGCAAAGGAAGAUGGUAGAAAGAAAAAAAAUGAAGCAUAAUUUGAGAUUAUUUUUUCACUUUGAAUUGUAUUAGCAACUUAGUUAGUUUUGUUAGAGUUUUUUAAAUUUGGAUUUAUAUAAAUAAUUUAACUAAUUGUAUUAUAUUGUCAAUGUUAA